AUAUUUACUUGGCAGGGGAGAUAUAAGAUCACAAAGGUGGUUUUCCCAGGGCAAGGCUUAUCUAUUGCAUUCCAGAUGUGCUGACCACUACAAAUUCCCCAAUGUGGGAAACUCGACUACAUAAUUUGUGGUAGUAGGGGACUGCGUUCAUACUUUCUCCUG
Small nuclear RNA from Nycticebus coucang (slow loris), 162 nucleotides. RefSeq annotates it as U1 spliceosomal RNA. The record is from RefSeq and is a predicted model, not a curated record. Lineage: Eukaryota; Metazoa; Chordata; Mammalia; Primates; Lorisidae. The transcript has a single exon.